Molecule: ribosomal RNA, 465 nt
Filed under: Vreelandella stevensii
Lineage: Bacteria; Pseudomonadati; Pseudomonadota; Gammaproteobacteria; Oceanospirillales; Halomonadaceae
Description: partial 16S ribosomal RNA
Rfam family: Bacterial small subunit ribosomal RNA
Source: RNAcentral
CCUACGGGGGGCUGCAGUGGGGAAUAUUGGACAAUGGGGGCAACCCUGAUUCAGCCAUGCCGCGUGUGUGAAGAAGGCCCUCGGGUUGUAAAGCACUUUCAGUGAGGAAGAACGCCUGGUGGUUAAUACCCAUCAGGAAAGACAUCACUCACAGAAGAAGCACCGGCUAACUCCGUGCCAGCAGCCGCGGUAAUACGGAGGGUGCGAGCGUUAAUCGGAAUUACUGGGCGUAAAGCGCGCGUAGGUGGCUUGAUAAGCCGGUUGUGAAAGCCCCGGGCUCAACCUGGGAACGGCAUCCGGAACUGUCAAGCUAGAGUGCAGGAGAGGAAGGUAGAAUUCCCGGUGUAGCGGUGAAAUGCGUAGAGAUCGGGAGGAAUACCAGUGGCGAAGGCGGCCUUCUGGACUGACACUGACACUGAGGUGCGAAAGCGUGGGUAGCAAACAGGAUUAGAUACCCGGGUAGUC